This 15635-nucleotide long non-coding RNA is filed under the name Heterocephalus glaber (naked mole-rat). Its description in RNAcentral is "lncRNA (ENSHGLG00000035800.1)". The record is from RNAcentral. Lineage: Eukaryota; Metazoa; Chordata; Mammalia; Rodentia; Bathyergidae.
UGCAGAGGAUGUGUGGUGCAGGGUGGAGAGGCGUUGGUGGGGUCCAUAGAUGAUGCCAGGUUCCAGUUCUAUUCUGAGCAUGAAGAAGGCGGAAGAGAGUGUGGAUUUAGACAACUCCGGGGGACCUGGCUUUUGUGUGGGAGGGAAAGGGGCCCCUAGCGGCCUGAGAUACCUCUGGUAGAAGGUAAAUUGGUAUAGAGAUUUUGGUUGCAUCUAAAAUUUGAAAAUGUUCAUACUCUACCAUCCAACCAUUCUAUUUCUCAUGUAUAACAUAGAGAAGCCACCACACAUUUGCACAAGGAAACAUAAAGAUGUUCAUUGUGGGACUGUUUAUAAUAAGAGCUUGAAGUAAUAACAAAAUUUAACAAAUAAAAUACACUGUACAGAUGUAAGAAAUAAUGAACUAAGUCAGGCAUGGCAAUGCACACCUGCAAUCCCAGCACUCUGGGAGGCUGAGGCAGGAGGGACACAAAUUCAAGUCCAGCCUGGGUAACUUAGGAAUUUAGCAAGACCCUGUCUUAAAAUAAAAAUUACCCAAAAAUGAAGGUGGGGCUGGGAAUGUAGGUCAAAUGAAGGCUUUGAGUUCAAACCCCAGUACUGAAAAAAAAAAAAGUAUUAGACCUAUCUGUAUGAAUAUGGAUAUUUGAAAAAUAUUGUUCAGUGAGAAAGCAACAAGUUGAUCCUUUUCUUCUUGUUUUUGGUACCGGGGAUUGAACUCGGGACCUUGUGCUUGCCAGGCAGGCACCGAACCACUGAGCCACAUCCCCAGCCCUAAAUUUUUCCUACUCUUAACAUCUGCUGUUCCUGGAAUUCAUGCUUUGAUUUUAGAGCACACGAACUCACGCUUCAGAUACCUAGCAGAUUUGGGAGUUAUAGCUCUUCCCAUAUAUCAGUUUUAUCUGACCUUGAACCUGCUCACCUCAUGGCUUUGCUCCAUAAAACUCCCUUGAGAUGCAGGGUCUGCAGGCAACCCACCUUCCGGUCCCCCUUCUGUCUCUCUUAGGCAGAAACUAUCUUUCUCUCAAUAAAUCCUUCCCACUCUUAAUCUCCAUUGUUCCUAGAAUUCAUGCUUUGAUUUUAGAGAACAUGAACUCAGGGUUUCAGACAUCUCGCCGGUUGGGAGUUAUAUUUCCCUUGUAGUAUUUGGAGGCCCAUAGAUCACACACCCUAUAUCACUACUGCACUUCUGCUUCCACAGUAUUCCUGCCUUUUCUUUCCCUGCUUGGGACCCAGCCCCACUUGAGGACUCAACUAGGGCCCCUGCCCGCCCCCCACUUCCUCCUGCAUGCUGUCUGAUCCCAGGGGAGAGCAGUGUCAGGAGCCUGUCCUGCCCCAGCUCACCGUAGAUGCCCUCUAAGACCAACAGGGACUCCACUCACUCCAGCCUGUCUUCCUCUUCUGUCCCCAGCCUCCCCUCUGCCAAUUCCUAUAGUGCUUCCCCAUGGGCCCCCAGGGUGGACUGUUUGCAUUCAAGCCCACCUAUACCUCCGUGGGCCCUAGAGCAAGACACUCAAACACUUACUUCCUGCAAAAUGGAGCUCACCUUAUAGUAAGAAAAUCAUAAAUGAAUUAGUGAUUAAUUGAUCAUAGAUAAACAACAAGUGCACCUGCUCAUAGGGUGACGCUAAGGAUUAACUUAGCUAAUCCUAGGAAGUGCUACAAGCAAUAGCCAGCAAGCAAGGAAACUGGGCCAAGACAUUACUGUUCUCACUGCACACAUCUGUGUCCUCUGAGAGUCCCCCUCGCUCCUCCGAACUGCUUCCGGCAUCCCCUGGGCAUGCCCCUGGUCUCUGGGACUGCAGCGGUUCCCUUGUACCAGCGACUUCUGUGUCACAAGCCCCCUGCCCAUAGCAGCUCACAUUCCAGUAAACACAGCAGUUGCUGGAGUUCAACCAAACCACCGUUCCCGACCCCCACUUCAUGGUAGGAUCACCUCAGGAACUUUUAGUAGGCUGCCCGGGCCAGGGCCAGACCAAUGCCAGAGGACCUCAGGAUGAGGCUCCAGAACAGCUUACAACCUCCCCUAGGUGACACUAAUGCUCAGCCAGGAUUAAGAAGCACUGACCAGGGGCUGGGGAUUUAGCUCAGUGGUUUCGGUGCCUGCCUCGAAAGCCGAGGACUUGAGUUCAAUCCCUGGUACCAAAAAAAAAGAAGCACUGACCAAAACCCAGGCUUAAAUCUCAACUCACCAGCUCUGUGAUCCGGCAGAAGUUCUUAAGAUGGUUAGCCUGUUUCCACAUCUUGAGGAUGGGGGUUUAAAUGUCUGUGAGAAUCACAUUCGGAGUCAGUGUACAAGGCCCAGUGCUUCCUAAAUGCCUCGCAGACCUGGGAACUGCAUUUCUCCUCUUCCUCCUCCGCACCUCCUGUUGUGGCAUAUCAGGAGUCAAAAUGACCUUCCAGAGACAGCAGAGUAGGGUAAAAUAAAAAAGUGUAUUGCCAGGCAAUGCCCAACCUCAGGAAAUGAGUCCUUAUAGGGUGACCAUGAGGUAAGACAGUUUCUCCUUUUAAUACCCUUUACAGGGCAGCUUAACUCAUGGUUACACACCAGUGUGGCAAGGGCACGAUAAAGCAGCAUUAGGAGGCAAGGGUGGCAUAAGUUGCGAUUACAGAAUGUAGCAAGGCUGUGGUACAGCAGCAUUAGGUAUGGGGUACUUAGAUAGACACACUUCAAGGCUAAUUCUAAUCUCUCUGGGAGCAGGCUGCUGCCACCAGAGGGAGGAGGCCCACCCAGAGUUUUGAAGCAGGAACAAUUUCACACAAGUUUUACACACAAGUUUUAAACAGGGUUUUAGCACAGAGUUUAUUAACAAAUAUUUUACAAUAAUUAUCUCUUCCAAAUUAUGUUUCAUAGCUCUUUUACCUCACUCCACAAAUCAGAGACAACAGGCUGUUUCUUUCCCCACCUUCUACCCUGUCAAAUCAUCACAAAGGUUUUGAGUCCCUAAGGGCCCAGUUCCUGUUGAGCUCCCCCGUAACAGAUUCACUAUUUUCCAUCCAUUAGAUGGGCUGCUGACCCCUUCCAGUGUGGGGACAGUGACAGCUCCAUACUGUUUCCAUCCCAGGUCCCUUACUAUGCCUUUUUGGUUUGCUUUCACUCUGCCCACAAUUUUAUAAGUCAUUCCUUUAUUAAAAUCUUCCACAAACUCCUGCGAGGCACCAUCUGUAAUUCUGCCAUCAUUACUCUGCACCACAGAAAGGAAGAAAGAGCUGAAAUAUGUGGGUACAUUUUUAGAAAACUAAAAGCAAAAGCCUAAAACCUCAUUUCUAGCAUUAUUUGCAAAAUGACCCCCUGGAACCCUACAAAGCUUGGAGAGAUCUCUAGGUAUCUGCAGCUCACCUUGUGAGUGAAAAGCACAGAAAACCACAGCUUUGCCAACUUUCCCUGAGACUUUGUCUUCUAACACUUUUUUUUUCUAUUAUCUUUCUUUUUUGGGGGGCGUACCAAGGAUCGAACUCGGGUCCUUGCGCUUGCGUAGCAGGCACCAAAACCACUGAGCUAAAUCACCAGCACACUUUUUUUUUUUCUAGUUAGUGGUUUUCUUUUCUUUCAAGCCUUCUUGUUCUUUUCAUAUUGGCAGAAAUCGUGCGAUAGGAUUGCUAUAAAGAUUAAAUGAUACACUCUGUGGAGGAAAAACAAACCUGUCUCCUGAACAGUGUCAUGGAAAUGGCUCCAGCUUGGCUACCAAAGUAAACUAAAUUUGAAUCCUACUCUUGAUUCUGGAAUUUGGACGAACUGCUUAUGUCUUCUGCAAAGAGGGUAUUAAUUCUUAUCUCAUGGGGCUGUUUAUGAGGCUACAUCAGGAUGAUUAUAACAGUCAAUAUUUUUCACUCUUUCAUGUAUCAGACAACUUGAUAAGGACUUUAUGUUCACUAUUUGAUUUAAUUCUCAUAAAGUCUCUAUGGAUGAAGUGCUAUUUUCAAUUCCAACAUUAUGUGUGAUGAAACUGAGGACAAAGUGACUUGCACGAGGUUAAACAGCAACUAAAUAACAAUACAGGAGAUGAUGCAGAAUGUAAGGUACUGAGAGCUUCUAUUAGGUGCACAUUAAUGACAUUCUGUAACACAGAAUCCAGGGCUGGGGAUUUAGCUCAGUGAUGCCGUGCCUGCCUCGGAAGUGCAAGAUCCCGAGUUCAAUCUCCGGUACCAAAAAACAAUGCAGAAUUCACAAUUCCACUAAAAUUUAGUGACGCUGCUGAACUAGGUACCUCCACCACUUGGUUUUUUUUACACGAUUUGUCCAAAAGUCAAGGUUUCCUGUCUAGAAUUUAAAUGUGAAUAUAACACCCAAAAGAAACAUAUCCACAAAAAAAUACAAGUAUAUAAAGAAUGUCCAGUCAGGGAUUUAGCUCAGUGGUUCCCCUGCCUGCCUCACAAGCACAAGGUCCUGAGUUCGAUCCCCAGUACCAAAAAAAAAAAACGAGGAAGAAUGUCCAUAGAAGCCUUAAUCUUAAUAUUCUAAAACUUGAAACCAACCUAGUUGCCAUGAAAUGUAUAUCCAUACGAUGGAAUACUGCUCAGCAAUAAAAAGGGAAAAUCUGAUGCACACUACAUAUAUGGACCUUAAAAACAUUACACUGGGCCAGAAAAUCCAGAUUGGAAAGAAUUCCCACUCUAUGGUUUCAUUUAUGUGCACUACAGAAACCAGCCAAACUAAACUAUGUUGAUGGAAAUCAGAAAGGGGUUGGUUGGAACAAAUACCGGUAAAGGUUAUGCCAGAAAGGGGCAGAACAGCACUUCCUCAGGUACUAGAAAUACCAUAUAUUUAGUUCUAGUUUGAAGACACAAUUAAUAAUUGUCAAACACACACAAUGGAACCAAACACUGAAAAUGUGUGUGUUUGAUCCGGUCAUGGUGACACAUGCUUGUAAUCCUAGCACCUUGGGAGGCUGAGGCAGGGGGAUUGCAAACUGGAGCCCACCCUGCUGAGCAGCUUAGCAACUUGGCAAGACUCUGUCUCAAAAUAAAAUAUAAAGCAAAAAACAUGGGCUGAAGGUGUGGCUCAAUGCAAAGGCUCUAGAUCCAAUCCUGAAAAUUACAUUGCAGUAAAAGAAAAAAAAAGUAAACUUUCAAAACAAAACAAAAGCAGUGAUUGUGCCAGUUUUACAGCUGCAUCUGGAGUGAACUGGAUGCCUCACUAGCUGCACUUCCUAGAUGCUCCGAUCAAGCCAAUCGAGCCGGAGAACCUGAUGGGAAAACGGAGUGGUGAACAGGAAUUCUGUUGGUCUCAUAAUUGAAGGUUCCAACCCAGUUCUCUGCUCGGCCCAGCUUUGUCUGCCUUAUUGGCUGUCACUGUUCCAAGCUGCCUCCCCGCUCAGCCCACAGAAAAGAAAGCAGAGCAUCUCCCCCUCCCACCCAGCAGGAGGGCUGGGAUUCCUCUUCCUGCCCUGGAUGAAGUUGCCAGCGAUGCUUCUGUGCCACCUGGCCAAGAACCCAGCCACGAGCAAGAGGGUCUGGCUGUGGUUUCAGAACCAGGCACAGGCCCUGCACCAGGAUCACCUCCCAAAGUAUAUGGCGCCACCCAAGGGAGAGGAAUGGGCUCUGGAGAGACCCCCAGAUGGGUGGCUGCAGGGGCCAUGGCUAGAGGGCAAGGUGGGCCUGAUCAGGGAGGAACUGAGUUUAACCCGGGCAGCAGGAAGCAAGCAGGACCCCAACAAGGUUGUGGUGCUAAAGCGGAGCAUGGGUUUGGAGCCCCAGCUCUGGGCUCCCUCUGCUGCCUGCUAACUGCGUGAGCUUUGCCAACUCUCAGGGCACCAUCUCCUAUGAGGACAGCGGAAGAAUCAUGAGGAGCCUCUAAGACUCUGUUCCAUGCUGAGAAUUGGCAAAGGGCAAUAAUAUUUAAUAUUCAUUCAAUCUGGACUUACCAAGACUUUGCUAAAUGCCUGCAAUCCAAUGCAAUCACAUAAUAAUCAUAAAUAAGAAGUGAUGCUCAGAAAUGAGUACAUCCCAUAAUCAGCUGUAAGCAGCCUCACUAUCAACCUUACUGUUUUUGUUGUUGUUGUUGUUGGGGUGGCGGGCGUGCAACAGGGUCUCACUACAUAGCCCAGGCUGGCCUUGAACUCACAGUGAUACUCCUGCCUCGGCCUCCCAAGUGCUGGGAUCACAGGCAUGCACCACCAUGUCCCACUCCACCUUACUCUGAAAUCGCGUCUGUCUGUGCAACUGCACUCCACCGGACUGCAAGCCAGCGAUCCCGCUUCCUGAGUCCAGAAGGCCAGUUUGCUCCUUCUCAAGGAAAUGUGAGACAUCGCUCUGCCGAUUUUAACUCUGCUUCUUGCCUUCAGAGGGCAUUGGGUGCAUCUAUCAGGGCAGUUUGACCCCCAUUCAUAACAGAGACUACAAAAGCAAGAGAGAGCGCCAGAGCAGGCCAGCACCUCUGUGGGCCUCUCUCCUUUUCCUGGGGAUGACUUAGACUUCCCAAAGGGCCUAGGGAAUUAGAAGGGAAUCAGAUCUGUUCGUGCUAUUUUCCAGCUCUCUUCAGAAAAGAAAGUGGAAUGGCAAGCUCGGGCAGAUUUCCUUUGGGGCACUUCCCAUGUUGAGAUUAUAAUGAAAUAUAAUCUAGCUACUGCUUGGCACUGAAGGUUCCUUGGUAUUCAGUAUAUACGUAUAUGCCUUCUAAUACAAUAGAGUGAAGAAAAAUAACCAGCAAAUGAAUAGUGAUUCAUAAAGUAGGAGUUAUAAAGGAUUUUUUUGGAAAGUACAACCAAGCAUGGGGGCACACGCCUGUGAUCCCAGCACUUUCAGAGGCUGAGGGAGGAAGAUGGCCAUAAGUUCAAGACCAGUCUGAACUAUAUAUCAAGACCCUUUCUCCUCCCACACACACACACGCACACACACACACACACACAAAAAGAUGGCUCUAAGGCAAGAAAAGGCAGCUCUAUCUCAAAUGGGGACAUCCCAAUAAAAGUCACAAUAAAGCAUCUUCUUUCACCAAGCAAAUUUAAAAAGAUGAAGCUGGGUGUGAUAGCACAUACCUCUAAUCCCAGCAUUCAGGAGGCUGAGGCAGAAGGAUUACAAAUUCGAGGCCAGACUGCACUGCAUAGUGACAGCCUCUCUCCCCCCCUAAAAAAGUAUAAAUAUAAAGCUAAAACCCAUAGUUUGUGGGAGCGUAAACUAGUAUACCCAAUGCGGAAAUAAGAAUAGAGAGUCCUCAAAAAACAAAAACUAGAAAUUUCAUUUGAUGACCCAGCUAUUCCCCUUCUAGGUAUCUUCCUGAAAGAGUUAAAGACACCAUAUUGCACUGAUCCAUACAUAUCCAUGUUCAUAGCAGCACAACUCAUAAUAGGUAAAUCUUGGAAGCAGCCUACAUGGCCAUCAACAGAUGAGUGGAUAAAGAGAAGGUAAUACAUACUUAUACACAAUGGAGUACCACUCUGCCAUAAAGAAGGAUAAACUUGAUUCAUUUGUAGGAAAAUGGAUGCACUUUGAGAUCCCAAUGUUAAGUGAAAUCAGACCCACAAGCUUAAAUAAUGCACGGUUUCUCUUAUAUAAGAAAUCUAAAGUAUGAAUAAUUUGAAGAGCUAAGUAAAAGAUAAUAGGAAACAGGAAGAUAGAUAUUUUGCAAACAGGAAGAGGACCAGGAGAUGGAGGGAAGGGUUAGGGAGAGGAGAGGAAGGAGAAGUAAAAACUGAAUUUGCUGUGGACGUGCUCCAACUUCCCACGGUGAAUAUUCUGCACAUAUGUACUAAUAAAAAUUUAAAAGACAACAAAAUAUUACAUCUCCUGCUGAGUGCCAUCCAAUGGAAAGGCAGGCUCGUAAAAACAUGAAGCUGUGUCCUCAACCACCUUACUCACCAGAUCUGCCACUGUGCCAUUUCCGGCUCCUCCCCAAGUCAAAACGACCAUGAAAGGUAAAUGUUUUAAAUCAACUCAAAACAUUGAGGCAGCCGCAACAGCACAACUAAAGACACUCCUAAAGGACUUCUUCUCUUCAGAUAGUGGUAAAAAGGAUGGGAUUAAUGUGUUCAAAGCUGGGGGGAGGAUUUUGAGGAGGAUCAAGCUAAUAAUUUGUAGAAAUUUAGACACUGCCAUUUAUCUUGAUCAUACUUCACGGGCAUACUUAAAUAUCUCUGUCGUCCACAGAUCUGUUGUCUGUAACCCUGCAUAAACAUGCUCAUUUAUGUUACACUGUAUUUACUUUUCUCAAUAUGCCUUCUGUGCGCUACUUGGAGCCACUUAUCUUGAGGCCUUUAUUUCUAUAAGAGCAAAUAUUAUUUCUCUUUAGUCUGAUAGUUUAUGAUGUUUCUUCUCUUUCUGCCAUCCUAUGCUUUUGCUGAAUUUCCUCCAUUUUGCCUUUGAGCUCGUGUUUUAUAGACACAACUGAAUCAAGUGGUAACUCUUUCUUUCUCAGUUUUUUGUGUUUAAGUAUGUUUUAGUUUGUUGUUUUGUUUCGUUCCUUUUUGCAGUACUGGAGUAGGACAUAAGGCCUUUGCACUGAGCUACAUCCCCAGUCCUUUUUAAUUUUAAUUUUAAUUUUUAUUUGGAGACAGGGUCUCACUUUGUCCAGGCUGGCCUUGAAAUCACUAUGGAGCCCAGACUGGCCUCAAACAUGAAUCCUCCUGCCUCAGCUGUCCUAGUGCUGGGAUUACAGGUAGCCGCCACCAGGCCCCACUCUUGUUCAGUGUUUUAGUGGGACUCUGUUUGACCACAGCUGUCAGUUGCCCAAGGCAAUAUUUUCCUGAGGAGAACUUUUCACCCAUUUCUGUCUUCCUCCCUGUCUCAUUUUUCCUUCUGAUGUCAUUCUAGUGUGAUCACCAUGGCCACUUGCUGCAUUGGCUCCAAGUAGCAAGUUAUAAAUUACUAAUUCUGUUAAUCAUUGCUGAUUGAUUUCCUCUUAUACUGCAUAACUGCACAAAUAUUGUGGGAGAAGUCCAGAAUAUUAGGCUCCCAAUUACGGUCUUGUGACUCAGGGCUCCACUGGGGUUCAGUACAGGGUUUGCUUAUUUCAGUGUCUGCUUCUCUCCCACCCCCAAGCAGACAGGGGACUCGAUCCCGCAUGGAACACAGGGUUCUCUCUCAGUCCGUUUCACUGGCAGACUGCUCCUAGCAAACACGGCAGGUCUGUGCGUCCCCUUUGUUCCCGACUAAGUGCUACUGGCUUUGCUCCACUGACUCCCUGCCAUGGCUCAGCAAUACAGAUGUCCGGAGUCUAUUCAAAUACAGCUUCUGGGAGGGGGAGCAGAUGCUGGUGACUGAAGCCAGGGAGCACUGAGCUGAACCGGCAGCCCUUUUUCAUGUUAUUUUGAAACAGGAUCUCUAAAUUGCCUGCUUAAAAAUGUGAUCCUCCUGCCUCAGCCUCCUGAGUAGCUGGGAUUAUAGGCAUGUGCCACCUGGCCCAGCUAUUUACUUUUGCUUGGAGGCAUUUUUAGAGACGAGACCAGAGAACAACUUCUCUUGUGACAUUUUAAACACAGAUAUCUCGUUGUCUCUGUAAAUUAGCGAUGUGAUUGAUUUUUUAAAUUUGGGCAUAAAAAUAAAGUGUAAAAUCUUACAUACUUUCAAGCUAUUUCAUAAUCAGUCCCCAGUUUAUUUUAUCUUCAUCCUCUGCAAUUUCCUCCCACCACUUCUGCUCUGGCUACAAGAUGACUUUAUACAAAAUCAUCUGCAGCCAAUGUGUUCUCUUCUCCUGAAAUUCAUAACAUAUAAAAAUUAUUCAAGGAUGCUACUCAUAUGUGGUACAUUUUAUUGAAGUAAAUACAGGCUUCGGGUACAAGAGAAAUCAGAGCUGUCUCAAGAAAAAAAUAUUUGACAAAAUAAAAGUGAAUUCUCUCCUAACACACUGUGAUAUGUAAAUUGGAGCAUACUGGGUUUUGAAAAAAAAACUGUUUUAUACUUUCAUAAAUUCUUUUUGAGAUUCUCUUUUUAAAAACUGUUUGCAUUGGAGUGUAUCAUAUAUACAGAUGAGUGCAUAAAUCUUAGUCUAAAGAUCAACGGAUUGCAGGGCACAGUGGAGCACACCUGUAAUCUCAGCACUCGGGAGGCUGAGGCAGGAGGAUCAGCACAAGUAGCUUGGGCUACACAGUGGGUUCAAGGCCAGCCUGAGGUACAGAGCAAGACCCUGUCUCAAAAAACCAAAAUAAAUAAAUAAAUAAUGAAUGCUCAAUGGGUUACCACCAAACGAACAGGUGUAAUCCAACCCAUAUGGGGAGGGAGGAAUAAGAAAAAGGAGGUUGGAUGUAUCAUGUACAGGUGCAAAUUCCUCAUGAUGUGUGUUAUCACUGUGUAUGGAUAAAAUGUACCAAAAAAUGUUUUGCUAUUAAAAAAAUAAUAGAUCGUUACCAGACCCUCAGAAGCCACCAUGGACCACUUCUAAUCAUUACUCACCCCUUCCUUGUCCCAAAAUAAAAUAUAAGAAAGGCUGGGGGUGUCUGAAGGCCCUGGGUUCAAUCCCCAGUACUGCCCAAAAGAAGAAGAGGAGGAAGAGAAAUGUAACAGAAAAGAAAAUGUUCCAUUUUACAGCUGAGCAGCUUUCUUGGUCUGUUUCCUACUCAACAGAGAGCCUUGAGCUAUUUCUCCUUUCAGUCUAAGCUGGCAAUGCUUUUCCUAGUAAAAUUUCCUUGAAAUCUGUGUGGAUUUCCUGUGCUUGCUAUAGGUCUAUUCGGUGUGGCAAAAGUCACAUUUAUAACUGGUUUGGAGACAAGCCUCUUCCUACUUUGGGUCAUAAGUCAGGCGAAGUGGAACAAUGUCCUUUGUCUACUGAGAGAAUCCAAAAGGCACUGAUGUUCCAGCUCUCCCCUUAAUUAGGGGUUAUGCCCAGUCUUCGCUUCAUUUUGUGACUCUCUUACUGGCUACAGAGAUCAGGAAUGAUAGACAAAUGUAAUUUCUAAGCUGGAAAAGCUUCGAUCCUUUACAUUUUCUCUAAAUUCUUACAAAUUAAAACAUUGCUCCCCCCCCAUCUCUCUUUUCUCAUUCCCCAUCAUCUGCAUUUAGGAUCAACAAACUGACAUUUCCAACAUUUCUUUAGCCAAAUGAAAAGUUUACUAGCAACAUUUGCUGUCUUCCAAGUUACUACAGACAAAAGUCUUGCAUAUUGUUACACCACUACAUGAUACUGAUUGCCAUUUGCCCAGACGGCUGUAGCAGUUUCUUCAUUGCUAUGCCAGUCAACACUAACAAUUGCUUUCCCAUUAUGAAGUUUUCGCAUCCCUGUUUGUCUUCUUUCUCAGGCCACUUCUCAGGAUUACUUAUUUCUGCUGGUAACCUUGAGAGAUGUGCAAGGUGUGUGAUGGUUAACUGUGGUGUCAACUUGAACUUAGCGGAACGCUUUAGUGCAGUUCUGAGUGUCUGGAUGACUGACUUACUGAAGAAGGAAGUCCCGCCCAAAUGUGGGUGGCAGCAACCAAUAGGCUUGUAGCGUGGAUGGAAGAAAAAGGGAGAGAAGAAGGAAGUCUUGCUCUGCUUCUGUGGAGGAGCUCCAGUCUUUGCCAUGGCCUUUGGACAUCCAUCUCCAGACUUCCAGAACAGACCCUUCAGCUUCCUGUAUGGAUUCUCAUGGGACUCUACAGUGAGCCCCAGGCCUUUGACUUCUGACUAGGUCCUCAGCUCACCAGCACACAGACAGCCUUUUGCGUUCUUCUACACCUGACUCUGAGGUGGCUAUUAUAAUAUAUACAUUAUAUUAAAUAUCUUCCUCUGGUGACCCCCGAGUGGCACAGUCUCUGCAGGGAUGAGGUGCAGGCUUGCUCACUGCUUGCUGUGAAAGUGGUGGAGUCCCAUGUUCAGUGCUUCUGGCUGUAUGGGCAGCACACACCCCGGCCACCCUGCCCCCAGGUCCCCUAGGACUCAGUGGCAAAGAGAUCUGAGGCAAAUAUUCAGAGGCUCCUGCUCUGGCACAAGUCCCCAAAUCCUUUAUCUCUGACAUGGAAUCUUCAUUUAUUGCCAACAUCCAUGAAACAGCAACAGCCUCACUUUUUAGUUUGUAAGUCAGGAAAAACCAAAUCCCAAAUUGAAUGGUCUCCGCACUCGAAAGCAUUCUCAGAUUAAUUUUCUUUUUUUUCUUUUUCUUCUUUUUUUUUGGUGGUGGUGGUGGGGGUCGAACUCAGGACCUUGUGCUUGUGAGGCAGGCGCAGCACCACUGAGCUAAAUCUCCACCCUGGUUUAACUUUCAAAAAAUUUUGUUGCUACCAAAAUCUGGAUAUGAGCUGAAAAUUACAUUGUUUCCCUAAGAUAUAAUUGUGGGCAAAAUUGUUUUGACAGCAUUUUUUUUUUAACUUUGAAACUAAGUCAAAAAGCAUGAAGUCUAUGAACAUCUUUGUGCUCAUAUUACUAAGAAUCUGCAGAGCUGGAGCAAAUGAAAUGAAGCACUGUUGAAAACUAUGUCACCUUUUCAAUUACUAUUCUGUGAAAUAUGAAACAACCACCAAGCUAUGUAAAAAGGAUCUACUCACGAUUUAAAACCCAACUCCAUAGUAACCGCUGCCUAGGUCAGAAGACGGAAGGCUACAUUCCCAGCAAGGCUCAGCAUCGCCGGGUGCAAAGAAAGCACAGAAUCCUUUACAGGGACCACGCUGACCCCAUGCACAGCACCGCAACUCAUAACAGCUAAUCCUGGAAGAGGACCCCGUGUCCAUCGACACAUGAAUGGAUAAAGAAAAUGUGCAAAAAUAAAUAAAUAAAUAAAUAAGAAAAUGUGCUAUUCAUGCAGACAGAGGCUGCACACUCUGCCAUGAAGAAAGAUAAAUCUAAAUCGUUUGUAGGAAAAUGGAGGCACCUUGAGACCAUAAUGUGAAGUGAAAUAAAUCAGACACAGAAACUUGACAUGGUUAACAUGGUUUCUCUUAUGCAAGAAACCCACAUUGUAAAUAAAGAGCAAGAUAAAGAUAGAUAAUAGGAAACAGGGAGAUAAGCCUUUCGCAAAAGGGAAGGAAACCAACAGAUGGGGGAGAGGAGAAAGGGAGGGAAAAAGAAUUAAGAUGUGUUACAUAGGGCCAGGGAUUUAGCUCAGUGGUUCCGCCGCCUGCCUCGCAAGUGCAAGGUCCCGAGUUCGAUCCCUGGUACCAAAAAAAAAGAUGUGUUACAUACUUGCACCAGAUACCCAUGAUGAAUGUAGUCAUUAUGUGCUGCAAACAUGAACUAAUAAAUUUUUUUUUGAGACAGGAUCUCACUAGGCAGUUCAGGCUGUCCUUAACUUGACACAUAUCCCAGGCUGGCCUUGAACUCACAGUGAUCCUCUUGCCUCAGUCUCCCAAGUGCUGGGAUUGAUUACAGGUGUGCACCACCAUGCCCGGCUAUAAAAAAUUUUCAAAACCAGGAUAAUCUAUCACCACACACAUAUCAGGACGAUUAAUUUUUUUUCACAGAGAGCAGUACAAAAUGUUGAUGAGGGUACACAGAAACUAGAUUUUCUUACGCAUUAUUGCUGGAAGUGUAAAAAUCAUGCAGCCACUCUGGAAAACAAUCUGGAAGUUUCUUCUAAAAUCAAGCAUCCACUUUCCAUAAAAUCCCAUAAUUGUACUCCUAGGAACUAUUUCAGUGAAGUCAAAAUCUACACAAACCCCUUCAUAAUCAUGUUCAUCAUAGCUCUCUGUAAUAGCCAAAAAUUGGAAACAACCAAAAUGCUGAUCAACCAGUGAACAACUGAACAAACUACAGAACAUCUCUACGGAGAAGUGCUACUCAACAACAAAAAAAGGAACAAAGUACUGGCACACACAACAAUGUGGGUAGAGCUCAAGGACUUUCUCCUGAUUGGAAAAAGGCCAAUCUUAGAAGGUUGCAUAUCAUACAAUUCCAUUUAGAGAAUAUUUUCAAAAUGACAAAAUGACAUGCAAGGAAAAGAGACUAGUGGUUACCAGGGGCUAGGGGCAGUGGUGGAGUGGGGGUGGCCAUAAAGGGUCAGCAUGAGGAGCAAGGGUGACAGGGUCAUUCUGUGCUGUGUUGUGGUGGCGAAUACUCACAACCACACGUAUGACCAAAUGACACAGAACUAGACACAAGCACUGGACCAAUGUCACUCUGUGUUACCAUUAUGCAUGAUGUAAUUGUUGUGGGAAAGCUGGUGUAGGGCAUUCAGGGCAUUCCACAAUUAUUUCUAAAUAGAUUUUUUAUUCAAAAGUAUCCCCCACCUAAGUCAGAAGGUAGGACAGGGUUGUCACCCACCAGACUCCUCCUCACUUAUUACCUUCCCCUUCCACACUGACGUUCCCUUCCUCCAUUUCCAUUACCUCAGGUUGAAAAAAAAGUAACAGGAACAUAAAGGACAACAAACAGUGUUUAGAUGUUGAGCUCCUAAACAGAUUCCAGAUAGACUGUAUCAGUUACCCUUACAUUCAUAGCAGCAUUAUUCACAACAACCCACAUGUGGAAGCAACCCCGUGUCCAUCAACACAGGAGUGGAUAAACAAAGUGUGCUCCAUGCACAGGAUGGAACACUCGGCAGCCCUCAAAAGGUAACAUAGAUAAACCUUGAAGACAUGAAGUCAGAAGCCAGUCUCAGAAGGGCAAAUAUUGUGUGAUUCCACUUGUAUAAAGAACUGGGAGGAGUCAGAUUCACAGAGACAGGAAGUAGAACCGUGGGUGCCAGCCAGAGGAGGAAGUGGAGAGGGAGUGCUGAUGGGUACAGAGUUCCAGUUUUCCAAGAUGAAAAGAUCCUGGAGGUGAAUGGGGGUGGAAAUCGCACAACACUUGGAUGUGCUUGAUCCCACUGAACUGGACUCUCAAUAAUGCUCACAGUGCAUCCCGGCUGUGGUGGCACACUCUUGGAAUCCCAGCACUCUGGAGGCUGAGGCAGGAGGAUCACAAGUUUGAGGCCAGUCUGGGCUACACAGAGUUCAAGGCCAGUGUAGACUAUACAUUGAGACUCUGUCCAAAAAUAAACAAAUUUAAGAUCAGACUGAGGGUGUGGCUAGUGGUAGAGCACUUGUAUAGCAAGUGCGAGGCCCAAGUUAAAUUUUGUUAUGUUGUUAUGUAUAUUUGUACAUUUUUAUCACAAUAAGAAAAAUAUUUUAGCCAAACAUGAUAGUGCAUGCCUAUAAUCCAAGCACUCUGGUAAACUGAGGCAGAAGGAUCCCAAGUUCAAGACAGCCUCAACAAUUUAGAGAGAUCCUGUCUCAAAAUUAGAAAAAAAAUUUUAUUUGGGGGGGUUCUAAUUUUUUUUUGAGUUCUUCAUAUAGUCUAGAUAUCCAUCCUCUGAGAAAUAGUUGGCAAAAUUUUUUCCCAUUCUGUAGAUUGUCUUUGCAUUUUGUUGGUUGUUUCCUUUGCUGGGCAGAAGCUUUUUAAUUUGAUAUGAUCUUGAGAGAGGCAACCACCCAUCCAUAUGGAAUUGAUCUCUGUGUUAAUUGGGUAACUAUGCUUUUUGUAGAAUGCACCUGAGUAACCAUGCUAAUUCUCUAAUCUGUUACCAAAGGAGCUUAAGGGACUCAGAAAGUCCUGCCAGGACUCUUUGUUCUUCCCCACUCUGCUGCUCUCCUUUGUGUAAAUCCUGCUUGCUAUAUUCCCAGAGAAACUCCAAUGGAAUUAAGCUUUGUAGAUGUGAAAAGAGGAAUAUAAAGAGCACAAACUUCUUUUUGGGCUCUUGAGACUGACAGGAGUCACUUGCUGAGCCACUGGCAUUAUUAAAAGCUGAUUUGCUCCUUCUCCGUGUGUCAGAGUGGUCUGUCUGGGAAUCUCAUGCAGUUUCCUGCUUCAAUCCCAUUGUU